UAGAGGAGCGGUGUUUGCACAACCACUAUGGUGUAACAGGGGUUGUGUACUCUGUAGAAAAGAGAAAGUGAUAUGCAAGUAUCAAUCCCAUCACGCAAGUAUCGAUCGAUACCGAUACCAAUGUUGGUAUCGAUACUAUAAAUAUAUUUGACAUCGAUCCGCCCACCACUUCCUGCAGGAAGGGACGAAAGAUUUUCACAAACUUGUGUGUCUCAGACGUGAACAUGGCAGGUUUCUCGGAAAGGACGCUACAAGUGGCUGUCGUGGUUUCUUUCUCUGUCGGUUUUCUGGCGGGGUGGCAGGCCAACAAGAUGUGGAAAAAACAUCAGCAAGAUAAAUGGUCGGAAAUACAGAAGAAGCUGGAUUCGUCGUGAAUGAUGUGAGGCUUUCUGUCUUGGGUGGAUGCUGAUCUUAUUGGUAAAGCUGUUGGAUCCUGGAUAUGCUACAGUCUGAUACUGU
Molecule: long non-coding RNA, 459 nt
Organism: Monopterus albus (swamp eel)
Lineage: Eukaryota; Metazoa; Chordata; Actinopteri; Synbranchiformes; Synbranchidae
Exons: 2
Source: RefSeq, a predicted model, not a curated record